This 443-nucleotide ribosomal RNA is filed under the name uncultured bacterium. RNAcentral describes it as "bacterial SSU rRNA". It matches the Rfam family "Bacterial small subunit ribosomal RNA", at positions 958 to 1399 of the family's 1533-position model. The record is from RNAcentral.
AACGCGAAGAACCUUACCCAGGCUUGACAUGCACCGGACAGGCACUAGAAAUAGAGCCCUCCCUUCGGGGCCGGUGCACAGGUGCUGCAUGGCUGUCGUCAGCUCGUGCCGUGAGGUGUUUGGUUAAGUCCAGCAACGAGCGCAACCCUUAUCAUUAGUUGCCAGCGCGUUAUGGCGGGAACUCUAGUGAGACUGCCCGGGUUAACCGGGAGGAAGGUGAGGAUGACGUCAAGUCCGCAUGGCCCUUAUGUCUGGGGCUACACACGUGCUACAAUGGCCGGUACAAAAGGCAGCGAAACCGCAAGGCGUAGCAAAUCCCAAAAGCCGGCCCCAGUUCAGAUUGUAGUCUGCAACUCGACUACAUGAAGACGGAAUUGCUAGUAAUGGCAGGUCAGCAACACUGCCGUGAAUACGUUCCCGGGCCUUGUACACACCGCGUGUCU